AGAAUUUAGUUUAAAUAAAACCUAGGAGUGUCAAAUCUAUAAUAAAUGUAUUUUUAAUUCU
Molecule: transfer RNA, 61 nt
Filed under: Neelus murinus
Lineage: Eukaryota; Metazoa; Arthropoda; Collembola; Neelipleona; Neelidae
Description: tRNA-Asp
Source: RNAcentral